UCUAAUCGUUCAUUACUUUUUAA
RNAcentral lists this small nuclear RNA (23 nucleotides) under Arabidopsis thaliana (thale cress). Its description in RNAcentral is "snRNA_11817". The record is from RNAcentral. Lineage: Eukaryota; Viridiplantae; Streptophyta; Magnoliopsida; Brassicales; Brassicaceae.